This 580-nucleotide ribosomal RNA is filed under the name Oncocephalus sp. UCR ENT 00128940. RNAcentral describes it as "partial large subunit ribosomal RNA". It matches the Rfam family "Bacterial large subunit ribosomal RNA", at positions 1924 to 2732 of the family's 2925-position model. Lineage: Eukaryota; Metazoa; Arthropoda; Insecta; Hemiptera; Reduviidae. The record is from RNAcentral.
UGAAUGGCCGCGGUAUUUUAACCGUGCUAAGGUAGCAUAAUCAUUUGUCUUUUAAUUAAGGGCUGGAAUGAAGGGUUGAACGAGGUACUGGCUUUCUUUAAUUCAGUUAGUUGAAUUUAACUUUUAAGCUAAAAGGCUUAAAUUUAUUUGUUGGACGAGAAGACCCUAUAGAUCUUUACAUUUAUAGUUAUUGUAAUAUUUAGUGAUUAAUUCUUUGCAAUUAUUGGAGGUGUUUGAUUGGGGUGAUUAAGGAAUAAUAAUAACUUCUUUUGAUUAAUUUCAUUGAUUGUUGUUUGGGUGAUCCAUUAUUAGUGAUUAAAAGAUUAAGUUACCUUAGGGAUAACAGCGUAAUUUUUUCGGAGAGUUCAUAUCGAUGAAGGAGUUUGCGACCUCGAUGUUGGAUUAAAAUAAGUUUUGAGUGCAGUAGCUCAAUGACUAGGUCUGUUCGACCUUUUAUUUUUUACAUGAUCUGAGUUCAGACCGGCGUGAGCCAGGUCAGUUUCUAUCUUUAAUUUAAUUAUGUAUAUUAGUACGAAAGGACCAUAUAUAUGGAGUAUCUCUUGCUUAUUUGUUUAAUAUU